RNAcentral lists this ribosomal RNA (385 nucleotides) under uncultured bacterium. RNAcentral describes it as "bacterial SSU rRNA". It matches the Rfam family "Bacterial small subunit ribosomal RNA", at positions 355 to 732 of the family's 1533-position model. The record is from RNAcentral.
UGGGGAAUAUUGCACAAUGGGGGAAACCCUGAUGCAGCCAUGCCGCGUGUGUGAAGAAGGCCUUCGGGUUGUAAAGCACUUUCAGCGAGGAGGAAAGGUUGAUGCCUAAUACGCAUCAGCUGUGACGUUACUCGCAGAAGAAGCACCGGCUAACUCCGUGCCAGCAGCCGCGGUAAUACGGAGGGUGCAAGCGUUAAUCGGAAUUACUGGGCGUAAAGCGCACGCAGGCGGUUGGAUAAGUUAGAUGUGAAAGCCCCGGGCUCAACCUGGGAAUUGCAUUUAAAACUGUCCAGCUAGAGUCUUGUAGAGGGGGGUAGAAUUCCAGGUGUAGCGGUGAAAUGCGUAGAGAUCUGGAGGAAUACCGGUGGCGAAGGCGGCCCCCUGG